RNAcentral lists this ribosomal RNA (468 nucleotides) under uncultured bacterium. Its description in RNAcentral is "partial 16S ribosomal RNA". It matches the Rfam family "Bacterial small subunit ribosomal RNA", at positions 28 to 507 of the family's 1533-position model. The record is from RNAcentral.
GACGAACGCUGGCGGCGUGCUUAACACAUGCAAGUCGAACGGAAAGGCCCUGCUUUUGUGGGGUGCUCGAGUGGCGAACGGGUGAGUAACACGUGAGUAACCUGCCCCUGACUGUGGGAUAACUUCAGGAAACUGGGGCUAAUACCGGAUAGGAUCUCCUGCUGCAUGGGGGGGGAUGGAAAGUGUCGGCGGUUGGGGAUGGACUCGCGGCUUAUCAGCUUGUUGGUGGGGUAGUGGCUUACCAAGGCUUUGACGGGUAGCCGGCCUGAGAGGGUGACCGGCCACAUUGGGACUGAGAUACGGCCCAGACUCCAACGGGAGGCAGCAGUGGGGAAUAUUACACAAUGGGCGGAAGCCUGAUGCAGCAACGCCGCGUGCGGGAUGACGGCCUUCGGGUUGAAAACCGCUUUCGCAUGUGACGAAGCGGGAGUGACGGUAAUGGGUAAAGAAGCACCGGCUAACUACGUG